RNA transcript from Ictalurus punctatus (channel catfish), 824 nucleotides. It is a transcript of the gene named mitochondrial matrix import factor 23, with no coding region annotated. Lineage: Eukaryota; Metazoa; Chordata; Actinopteri; Siluriformes; Ictaluridae. The record is from RefSeq and is marked provisional. The transcript is spliced from 6 exons.
GCACUGUAUGGGCAGUUAUGGACUUUCACAGGUUUUGAGGACCUUUCAGUCCAUCAUGGCGGCGCCCAAUGGCACUCUGAAUUGUGCGGACUUUUUAAUGUUUCAGGAGGUGUUAAAAGCAAUGCGUACCUUUGAUGACCGGAUUGUCCAUGCUCUCAACACUACCGUGCCCACGGUGUCCUUCUCAGGAAAAGUGGAUGUCACGCAGACCUGCAAAGAGCUCUAUGAGUCUCUGGUGGAGGCCCAUUUGAGGAGAGAUAAAGCAAUAAAAACGUGUAUUAUAGAAACCUCAGAAGUUGUCGGGCGGUUACGUGAAGCAAGGGCGAAGGACAGCGACAACCUGUCAAUCAUCAAACAACUCAGGAAAGAGCAAAACAAGUUAAAACUCAUGCAGUCUGAACUGAACGUUGAAGAAGUCAUCAAUGAUCGCAGUUUGAAGAUCCAAAUCAAACAUCAGAAUGGGGGGUGGACAUGAUCUCAGUGACUUUGAUCGUAGCAUGGUUCUUGGUGCCACACAGAAUAACAACUCUGUACAGCCGUGGUUUUCAACGAACGAUGUCGGAUCCACUACACCCCCCCUAAGAACUAAUUAAAGCUCCGUUCCCUUUGGAGAGGGCUACAGUAUACACUGAGCUGGCUGUGAAUCUCUGGAAACAACUGGAGUGAGUUGGGAUACCGCUCUGUUUUAAAUCCCUCUCAUUUCCCACUGUUAGUCUGAACUCCUGUGUUUCUACAGUAACAUGAGACUUCUUGCUCUUUAUGCCAGCGUUGUACUAAAUGUUGUACAAAGAUUUUUAUAAACAUUUAGUUGUUUUUUUCCAGUG